AAGACCUUGCGCUUUUGGAGCGGCCGAUGCCUGAUUAGCUUGUUGGUAAGGUAAAAGCUUACCAAGGCUUCGAUCAGUAGCUGGUCUGAGAGGACGGCCAGCCACACUGGGACUGAGACACGGCCCAGACUCCUACGGGAGGCAGCAGUGGGGAAUUUUGGACAAUGGGGGCAACCCUGAUCCAGCCAUGCCGCGUGAGUGAAGAAGGCCUUCGGGUUGUAAAGCUCUUUCAGCCGGAACGAAACGGUUACGGUUAAUACCCGUGACUACUGACGGUACCGGAAGAAGAAGCACCGGCUAACUACGUGCCAGCAGCCGCGGUAAUACGUAGGGUGCGAGCGUUAAUCGGAAUUACUGGGCGUAAAGCGUGCGCAGGUGGGUUUGUAAGUCAGAUGUGAAGGCCCCGGGCUCAACCUGGGAACU
RNAcentral lists this ribosomal RNA (423 nucleotides) under uncultured bacterium. RNAcentral describes it as "bacterial SSU rRNA". It matches the Rfam family "Bacterial small subunit ribosomal RNA", at positions 207 to 622 of the family's 1533-position model. The record is from RNAcentral.